Molecule: ribosomal RNA, 231 nt
Filed under: uncultured bacterium
Lineage: Bacteria
Description: partial 16S ribosomal RNA
Rfam family: Bacterial small subunit ribosomal RNA
Source: RNAcentral
CGGGGUGAGUAACACGUGGAUAACCUGCCUCACACAGGGGGAUAACAGUUAGAAAUGACUGCUAAUACCGCAUAAGCGCACGGUACCGCAUGGUACAGUGCGAAAACUCCGGUGGUGUGAGAUGGAUCCGCGUCUGAUUAGGUAGUUGGUGAGGUAACGGCCCACCAAGCCGACGAUCAGUAGCCGACCUGAGAGGGUGAUCGGCCACAUUGGGACUGAGACACGGCCCAA